AUUGAACGCUGGCGGCAUGCUUUACACAUGCAAGUCGAACGGCAGCGCGGGCUUCGGCCUGGCGGCGAGUGGCGAACGGGUGAGUAAUACAUCGGAACGUGCCCAGUAGUGGGGGAUAGCUCGGCGACAGCCGGAUUAAUACCGCAUACGACCUGAGGGUGAAAGCGGGGGAUCUUCGGACCUCGCGCUAUUGGAGCGGCCGAUGGCAGAUUAGCUAGUUGGUGGGGUAACGGCCUACCAAGGCGACGAUCUGUAGCUGGUCUGAGAGGACGACCAGCCACACUGGGACUGAGACACGGCCCAGACUCCUACGGGAGGCAGCAGUGGGGAAUUUUGGACAAUGGGCGAAAGCCUGAUCCAGCAAUGCCGCGUGUGUGAUGAAGGCCUUCGGGUUGUAAAGCACUUUUGGCGGGAACGAAAAGGACUGUGCCAAUACCACGGUUCGAUGACGGUACCCGCAGAAUAAGCACCGGCUAACUACGUG
Molecule: ribosomal RNA, 484 nt
Filed under: uncultured bacterium
Lineage: Bacteria
Description: partial 16S ribosomal RNA
Rfam family: Bacterial small subunit ribosomal RNA
Source: RNAcentral